Molecule: non-coding RNA, 29 nt
Filed under: Mus musculus (house mouse)
Lineage: Eukaryota; Metazoa; Chordata; Mammalia; Rodentia; Muridae
Source: RNAcentral
UGAGCUUAUCCGAGAGACAUAUUGAGUGU